UCGCUUGAUCAAGCUCGUCCAACGAAUCAACUAUCCGCGAGGAACACAGCUUCGACCACAACAUGAACAUUAAACGAUGGUUUCUUCUCGUGCUGUUAGCCGCGCUGCUGCUUAUCGGACAAUCUCAGGCUGCCCCCAGGAAAAAAUCGGGAAGAAUGUGUUCAGGGCUGCCCAGAAGGCACUGCCAGUCGUGGUCGGAUACAAAGCCCUAGGAUGAAGCACGGUGUCUGACACAUGAGCGUGAGGACUUCAAAUUGUGAUAUUUACUUAAGUUAUUAAGUUAGGCUGGUUCAAUUUUCGAAUGAUGCAUUUAAAUAAAAUUUACAAAUUGAAUAUAGUUUUCCUGAAAA
Molecule: long non-coding RNA, 350 nt
Organism: Toxorhynchites rutilus septentrionalis
Lineage: Eukaryota; Metazoa; Arthropoda; Insecta; Diptera; Culicidae
Exons: 2
Source: RefSeq, a predicted model, not a curated record